UCCAGAGGGGGCAAGCGUUAUUCGGAAUUAUUGGGCGUAAAGGGCGCGUAGGCGGCGAUUCAAGUGACGGGUGAAAUCCCUCGGCUUAACCGAGGAACUGCCUGUCAGACUGGAUUGCUUGAGGCCGGGAGAGGCGAGUGGAAUUCCCAGUGUAGCGGUGAAAUGCGUAGAUAUUGGGAGGAACACCAGUGGCGAAGGCGGCUCGCUGGACCGGUUCUGACGCUGAGGCGCGAAAGCGUGGGGAGCAAACAGG
RNAcentral lists this ribosomal RNA (253 nucleotides) under uncultured bacterium. RNAcentral describes it as "partial 16S ribosomal RNA". It matches the Rfam family "Bacterial small subunit ribosomal RNA", at positions 524 to 776 of the family's 1533-position model. The record is from RNAcentral.